GAGAGCCGAGGUACUAAUACGGUGCUUGUGUGAAUAAAAUGUAAGGAAUUUUGUGACGCCGAAAAACAGUCCCUGAAACCCGAGGAAAGGAGGACAGAACCAAUUAGCCACCACGGUCGCGUCACCGGCCGCCGCUCGUCUCCCUCCGCCUAUAAACCGCGCACCCACACACGGCCACACGGCACCACACCAACACAGACGCACGCCACAGGAGAGACCGCGCGCACGCUCUCUGGCGACGGCACGGCGGAGCCACCACCUCCACCUGAGACUCUGGCGCCGGNN
RNAcentral lists this long non-coding RNA (285 nucleotides) under Hordeum vulgare. Its description in RNAcentral is "long non-coding RNA (HVUL_LNC002991)". The record is from RNAcentral. Lineage: Eukaryota; Viridiplantae; Streptophyta; Magnoliopsida; Poales; Poaceae.